This 1473-nucleotide ribosomal RNA is filed under the name bioreactor metagenome. RNAcentral's name for it is "bacterial LSU rRNA". It matches the Rfam family "Bacterial large subunit ribosomal RNA", at positions 741 to 2234 of the family's 2925-position model. The record is from RNAcentral.
CAGGUUGAAGCUUGGGUAAAACCAGGUGGAGGACCGAACCAGGGUCUGUUGCAAUAGACUUGGAUGACUUGUGGUUAGGGGCGAAAAACCAAACGAACCUGGAGAUAGCUGGUUCUCCCCGAAAUAGCUUUAGGGCUAGCGUUAUUUUUAGUUUACUGGAGGUAGAGCACUGAAUGGUUGAUGGCCACACCUAGUGGUACUGAUAUCAAUCAAACUCCGAAUGCCAGUAAAUAUAAAUAGCAGUAAGACUGUGGGUGAUAAGGCUCAUAGUCAAAAGGGAAACAGCCCAGACCGCCAGCUAAGGUCCCGAAAUAUAUGCUAAGUGGGAAAGGAUGUGGAGUUGUAUAAACAGCUAGGAGGUUGGCUUAGAAGCAGCCACCCUUUAAAGAGUGCGUAAUAGCUCACUAGUCGAAUGAUUCUGCGCCGAAAAUGUAUCGGGGCUAAAGCAUAUUACCGAAGCUGCGGAUAUAGAAAAUUUUUUCUAUGUGGUAGGGGAGCGUAGUUAAUGCGCUGAAGCAAGACUGAGAAGACUUGUGGAGUGUUAAGUAGUGAGAAUGCCGGUGUGAGUAACGAAAAGAUGGGUGAGAAUCCCAUCCGUCGAAAGCCUAAGGUUUCCAGAGGAAGGUUCGUCCGCUCUGGGUUAGUCGGGUCCUAAGGUCAGGCUGAAAAGCGUAGCCGAUGGACAUCAGGUUGAUAUUCCUGGACCACUUAUAUGACUGAUGGAAUGACGAAGAAGGCUAGAAUAGGCAAAUUAGUGGAUUUUUGUAGAAGGGUGUAGGUGGAAGAUCUAUGCAAAUCAGGAUCUUUAAUUAAACACUGAAACCAAAAAUAAUUUAUUCGAGGCCCGACUUCCAAGAAAAGUUUCUAAGAUUAUUAUAUAAGUGCCCGUACCGUAAACCGACACAGGUAGGCGAGGGGAAGAAAUCCAAAGACGCGCGAGAAAACUCUUGUUAAGGAACUCUGCAAAAUGACCCCGUAACUUCGGAAUAAGGGGGGCUUACUAUAAGUAAGCCGCAGAUAAUAGGCCCAAGCGACUGUUUAUCAAAAACACAGGUCUCUGCUAAACCGCAAGGUGAAGUAUAGGGGCUGACGCCUGCCCAGUGCUGGAAGGUUAAGAGGAGAUGUCAGAACGUAAGUUCAAAGCAUUGAAUUGAAGCCCCAGUAAACGGCGGCCGUAACUAUAACGGUCCUAAGGUAGCGAAAUUCCUUGUCGGGUAAGUUCCGACCCGCACGAAAGGCGUAACGAUUUGGGCGCUGUCUCAACUCGAGACUCGGUGAAAUCAUAUUAUUGGUGAAGAUGCCAAUUACCCGCGACUAGACGGCAAGACCCCAUGGAGCUUCACUGCAACUUGAUAUUGAUAUUGGGUAUUGGAUGUACAGGAUAGGUGGGAGACUAAGAAGCAAGGACGCUAGUUUUUGCAGAGUCGCCCUUUGGAUACCACCCUUCUAAUAUUUAGUGUCUAACUAGAGGCC